Octopus sinensis (East Asian common octopus) is the source of this 1114-nucleotide long non-coding RNA. RefSeq lists it as uncharacterized. NCBI's taxonomy places the organism in Eukaryota, Metazoa, Mollusca, Cephalopoda, Octopoda, Octopodidae. The transcript has 2 exons. The record is from RefSeq and is a predicted model, not a curated record.
UAUAUCUCUGCUGCCUAGCAACCCUUCAGUCGUACCCCACUAUAGCCCAUACAGUACUUCAUACUGAUACACACUAUACCCUUUGACCAUCCACAUUAACUUCUCUCUCCCCCUCAUAUAUAUAUAUAUAUAUAUAUGUGUGUGUGUGUGACUCCAUUUCUAUCAUAUGUCCACCACCUCCCCUUUUUCUGUAUAUCCAUUGCAUGCCUGUCCUCCAUCUCUCUCUCUCUAUAUAUAUAUAUAUAUCUUUCUGUCUAUUUCUACCGUAUGUCUACCUCCUUCUUUCUGUAUAUCCAUUGCAGGCUUCUCUCCUUCCCUCUCUUUCUAUACACCUGUUGCAUAUCUGGUGUAUCUAUCUCUCUCUCUUUCUCCGUGUCUCCAUCUGUCUGUCUGUCUACCUCCCUCUCUCUACAAACCAAGAAGUAAAAAGAUAAAAGAAAUACCACUCUAGUACAGUUAUUAUUCCUUAUGGUAAGCCCACAUGCUGGGAUUUUAUUUCCCUUUUGAUUCUCACACAAAAUACUGAGCUGACACAGGCAUCGGAGGGAGGUAGCAGAGAAAGAGGAAAUCCCAUCCACCCUAGCACCACACAAAGCCUCCAUAAUAAAAUUAAAACUGGCUGCUUUCGUCCAAAAUUAAUACAUAAAUCUAAUAUACACUAGCACAACUCCCUGAUAAUGAUAAUAAAACUGUCUAGUUAAUAAAAGCAACACACACAUAUCAUACCCUGGGUAGCCACAGCAAUACAGAGAGGAGGGAGGGAUAUUGGGGUGGGGGUGACAAUUCAGUUAAAUCUAUCAUGAUUCUGCUAUAAGCACAAGGCCGGAGAUUUUAGAGGGGAGGGGGCUAGUCGAUUACAUCAUCCCCACAAACACAUAUACACCAUGUUUGCUCAUGUAUAUAAGUUGCACUCGUAUAUGUCACACUCAUGUAUAAGUCACGCUCGUGUAUAAGUCGAACUUGUUUAUAAGUCACAUUCACGUAUAAGUCACGCUUGUGUAUAAAUUAUGUGUAUGUAUAAGUUGUACCCCAAGUUUAGUGCUAAUUUCAAACUCGAUGUCAGCUUUGCUCCAUAUAUUAAUCACACCCCAGGGUUUUUGUUUUUUUUUACAGU